This 349-nucleotide ribosomal RNA is filed under the name uncultured eukaryote. Its description in RNAcentral is "SSU rRNA". It matches the Rfam family "Eukaryotic small subunit ribosomal RNA", at positions 594 to 945 of the family's 1831-position model. The record is from RNAcentral.
AUAGCGUAUAUUAAAGUUGUUGCGGUUAAAAAGCUCGUAGUUGAACUUCGGGGUCUACCCAUUGGUCAGGCUUAAUUGUCUGCACUGGUGGGAUGGAUCUCUACCUUCUGAGGAACUUUCAUGCCAUUUAUUUGGUGUGAUUGGAAAUCAGGACUGUUACUUUGAAAAAAUUAGAGUGUUUAAAGCAGACUAUCGUCUGAAUACAUUAGCAUGGAAUAAUGAAAUAGGACGGACUGAUUCUAUUUCGUUGGUUUCGAGGAUCACCGUAAUGAUUAAUAGGGAUAGUUGGGGGCAUUAGUAUUCAAUUGUCAGAGGUGAAAUUCUUGGAUUUAUUGAAGACUAACUACUG